GACGAACGCUGGCGGCAUGCCUAAUACAUGCAAGUCGAGCGAACAGAUGAAGUGCUUGCACUUCUGACGUUAGCGGCGAACGGGUGAGUAACACGUAAGGAAUCUACCUAUAAGCGGGGGAUAACAUUCGGAAACGGGAGCUAAUACCGCAUAAUAUCUUCUUCCGCAUGGAAGAAGAUUGAAAGAAGGCUCUGCUGUCACUUAUAGAUGACCUUGCGGUGCAUUAGUUAGUUGGUGGGGUAAUGGCCUGCCAAGACGAGGAUGCAUAGCCGACCUGAGAGGGUGAUCGGCCACAUUGGGACUGAGACACGGCCCAAACUCCUACGGGAGGCAGCAGUAGGGAAUCUUCCGCAAUGGGCGAAAGCCUGACGGAGCAAUGCCGCGUGAGUGAAGAAGGCCUUCGGGUCGUAAAACUCUGUUAUAAGAGAAGAACAAAUUGUAGAGUAACUGCUACAGUCUUGACGGUAUCUUAUCAGAAAGCCACGGCUAACUACGUGCCAGCCGCCGCGGUAA
Molecule: ribosomal RNA, 513 nt
Filed under: uncultured bacterium
Lineage: Bacteria
Description: partial 16S ribosomal RNA
Rfam family: Bacterial small subunit ribosomal RNA
Source: RNAcentral